Molecule: ribosomal RNA, 513 nt
Filed under: uncultured bacterium
Lineage: Bacteria
Description: partial 16S ribosomal RNA
Rfam family: Bacterial small subunit ribosomal RNA
Source: RNAcentral
AUCGAACGCUGGCGGCGUGCCUAAUACAUGCAAGUCGAGCGAACAGAUGAAGUGCUUGCACUUCUGACGUUAGCGGCGAACGGGUGAGUAACACGUAAGGAAUCUACCUAUAAGCGGGGGAUAACAUUCGGAAACGGGUGCUAAUACCGCAUAAUAUCUUCUUCCGCAUGGAAGAAGAUUGAAAGACGGCUCUGCUGUCACUUAUAGAUGACCUCGCGGUGCAUUAGUUAGUUGGUGGGGUAAUGGCCUACCAAGACGAUGAUGCAUAGCCGACCUGAGAGGGUGAUCGGCCACAUUGGGACUGAGACACGGCCCAAACUCCUACGGGAGGCAGCAGUAGGGAAUCUUCCGCAAUGGGCGAAAGCCUGACGGAGCAAUGCCGCGUGAGUGAAGAAGGCCUUCGGGGCGUAAAACUCUGUUAUAAGAGAAGAACAAAUUGUAGAGUAACUGCUACAGUCUUGACGGUAUCUUAUCAGAAAGCCACGGCUAACUACGUGCCAGCCGCCGCAGUAA